AGGUCAAGCGAAGAAGGGCGCAGGGCGGAUGCUUGGCACUGAGAGCCGAUGAAAGACGUGAUAAGCUGCGAUAAGCUUCGGGGAGGAGCAAAUAUCC
This 97-nucleotide ribosomal RNA is filed under the name Anaerobutyricum hallii. RNAcentral's name for it is "[Eubacterium] hallii partial 23S ribosomal RNA". It matches the Rfam family "Bacterial large subunit ribosomal RNA", at positions 1 to 97 of the family's 2925-position model. The record is from RNAcentral. Lineage: Bacteria; Bacillati; Bacillota; Clostridia; Lachnospirales; Lachnospiraceae.